GUAAGGAAUAUUGGUCAAUGGACGAAAGUCUGAACCAGCCAUGCCGCGUGGAGGAUGAAGGUCCUCUGGAUUGUAAACUUCUUUUAUAUGGGACGAAAAUGGGGCUUUCUAGCUCAACUGACGGUACCAUAUGAAUAAGCACCGGCUAACUCCGUGCCAGCAGCCGCGGUAAUACGGAGGGUGCAAGCGUUAUCCGGAUUCACUGGGUUUAAAGGGUGCGUAGGUGGAUUGGUAAGUCAGAGGUGAAAUCUCCGGGCUCAACUCGGAAACUGCCUUUGAUACUAUCAAUCUUGAAUAUUGUGGAGGUUAGCGGAAUAUGUCAUGUAGCGGUGAAAUGCUUAGAUAUGACAUAGAACACCAAUUGCGAAGGCAGCUGGCUACACAUAUAUGGACACUGAGGCACGAAAGCGUGGGGAUCAAACAGGAUUAGAAACCCUGGUAGUCC
RNAcentral lists this ribosomal RNA (445 nucleotides) under uncultured bacterium. RNAcentral's name for it is "partial 16S ribosomal RNA". It matches the Rfam family "Bacterial small subunit ribosomal RNA", at positions 354 to 796 of the family's 1533-position model. The record is from RNAcentral.